Molecule: ribosomal RNA, 446 nt
Filed under: uncultured bacterium
Lineage: Bacteria
Description: partial 16S ribosomal RNA
Rfam family: Bacterial small subunit ribosomal RNA
Source: RNAcentral
GCCAGACUCCUACGGGAGGCAGCAGUGGGGGAUAUUGCACAAUGGGGGGAACCCUGAUGCAGCGACGCCGCGUGGGUGAAGAAGCGCCUCGGCGCGUAAAGCCCUGUCAGCAGGGAAGAAAAUGACGGUACCUGAAGAAGAAGCCCCGGCUAACUACGUGCCAGCAGCCGCGGUAAUACGUAGGGGGCAAGCGUUAUCCGGAUUUACUGGGUGUAAAGGGAGCGUAGACGGCAUAGCAAGUCUGAAGUGGAAGCCCGUGGCUCAACCGCGGAACUGCUUUGGAAACUGUUAAGCUGGAGUACUGGAGAGGCAAGCGGAAUUCCUAGUGUAGCGGUGAAAUGCGUAGAUAUUAGGAGGAACACCAGUGGCGAAGGCGGCCUGCUGGACGGUGACUGACGCUGAGGCUCGAAAGCGUGGGGAGCAAACAGGAUUAGAUACCCUAGUAA